GAUGAACGCUGGCGGCGUGCCUAAUACAUGCAAGUCGAGCGAGAAGCAAGAAGAUGAAACUUCGGUAGAUUCAUCUUGCGGACAGCGGCGGACGGGUGAGUAACGCGUAGGCAACCUGCCUCUCACAGAGGGAUAGCCAUUGGAAACGAUGAUUAAAACCUCAUAAUAUCGUAGCAACUCAUGUUGCAACGGUCAAAGAUUUAUCGGUGAGAGAUGGGCCUGCGUCUGAUUAACUAGUUGGUGGGGUAACGGCUCACCAAGGUGACGAUCAGUAGCCGACCUGAGAGGGUGAUCGGCCACAUUGGAACUGAGACACGGUCCAAACUUCUACGGAAGGCAGCAGUAGGGAAUCUUGCACAAUGGACGAAAGUCUGAUGCAGCAACGCCGCGUGAAGGAUGACGGCCUUCGGGUUGUAAACUUCUGUUCUUGGGGACGAAACAAAUGACGGUACCCAAGGAGCAAGCCCCGGCUAACUACGUG
RNAcentral lists this ribosomal RNA (481 nucleotides) under uncultured organism. RNAcentral's name for it is "bacterial SSU rRNA". It matches the Rfam family "Bacterial small subunit ribosomal RNA", at positions 28 to 507 of the family's 1533-position model. The record is from RNAcentral.